AGAGUUUGAUCAUGGCUCAGAUUGAACGCUGGCGGCAGGCCUAACACAUGCAAGUCGAGCGGCAGCACGGGUACUUGUACCUGGUGGCGAGCGGCGGACGGGUGAGUAAUGCCUAGGAAUCUGCCUGGUAGUGGGGGAUAACGCUCGGAAACGGACGCUAAUACCGCAUACGUCCUACGGGAGAAAGCAGGGGACCUUCGGGCCUUGCGCUAUCAGAUGAGCCUAGGUCGGAUUAGCUAGUUGGUGAGGUAAUGGCUCACCAAGGCGACGAUCCGUAACUGGUCUGAGAGGAUGAUCAGUCACACUGGAACUGAGACACGGCCCAAACUCCUACGGGAGGCAGCAGUGGGGAAUAUUGGACAAUGGGCGCAAGCCUGAUCCAGCCAUGCCGCGUGAGUGAUGAAGGCCUUAGGGUUGUAAAGCUCUUUUGUCCGGGAAGAUAAUGACUGUACCGGAAGAAUAAGCCCCGGCUAACUUCGUGCCAGCAGCCGCGGUAAUACGAAGGGGGCUAGCGUUGCUCGGAAUCACUGGGCGUAAAGGGCGCGUAGGCGGACUCUUAAGUCGGGGGUGAAAGCCCAGGGCUCAACCCUGGAAUUGCCUUCGAUACUGAGAGUCUUGAGUUCGGAAGAGGUUGGUGGAACUGCGAGUGUAGAGGUGAAAUUCGUAGAUAUUCGCAAGAACACCAGUGGCGAAGGCGGCCAACUGGUCCGAUACUGACGCUGAGGCGCGAAAGCAUGGGGAGCAAACAGGAUUAGAUACCCUGGUAGUCCACGCCGUAAACGAUGAAUGCCAGCCGUUGGGGUGCAUGCACCUCAGUGGCGCAGCUAACGCUUUAAGCAUUCCGCCUGGGGAGUACGGUCGCAAGAUUAAAACUCAAAGGAAUUGACGG
This 889-nucleotide ribosomal RNA is filed under the name uncultured bacterium. RNAcentral's name for it is "bacterial SSU rRNA". It matches the Rfam family "Bacterial small subunit ribosomal RNA", at positions 8 to 916 of the family's 1533-position model. The record is from RNAcentral.